UACAGAGGUCUCAAGCGUUGUUCGGAUUCAUUGGGCGUAAAGGGCGUGCAGGCGGUUUGUUAAGUCUAGGGUGAAAGCUCCCGGCUCCACUGGGAGAGGUCCUUGGAUACUGGCAGACUUGAGGGGGGUAGAGGAGAGUGGAAUUCCCGGUGUAGUGGUGAUAUGCGUAGAUAUCGGGAGGAACACCAGUGGCGAAGGCGGCUCUCUGGGCCCUACCUGACGCUGAGACGCGAAAGCGUGGGGAGCGAACCGG
Molecule: ribosomal RNA, 253 nt
Filed under: uncultured bacterium
Lineage: Bacteria
Description: partial 16S ribosomal RNA
Rfam family: Bacterial small subunit ribosomal RNA
Source: RNAcentral